Small nucleolar RNA from Doryrhamphus excisus (bluestripe pipefish), 73 nucleotides. RefSeq annotates it as small nucleolar RNA SNORD2. The record is from RefSeq and is a predicted model, not a curated record. NCBI's taxonomy places the organism in Eukaryota, Metazoa, Chordata, Actinopteri, Syngnathiformes, Syngnathidae.
GAGUGAAAUGAUGUUUUACCAUCUUUCGGGACUUACUCAUUAAUGGGGAUAACUUUUUCCUAACUGAUCGCUC